RNAcentral lists this transfer RNA (72 nucleotides) under Camelus ferus (Wild Bactrian camel). It matches the Rfam family "tRNA". From Rfam's summary of the family: Transfer RNA (tRNA) molecules are approximately 80 nucleotides in length. Their secondary structure includes four short double-helical elements and three loops (D, anti-codon, and T loops). Lineage: Eukaryota; Metazoa; Chordata; Mammalia; Artiodactyla; Camelidae. The record is from Rfam by way of RNAcentral.
GAUGAUAUAGCUCAGUGGUAGAGUGUGUGCUUAGUAUGCACAAAACCCUAGGUUCAAUCUCCAGCACCUCCA